CCGAAUUUGUUCCAUGUACCUUAUUCCUUGCUGAUGAAGAAUCUGCAGGUGGAAAUUUGGAUGCAUGAAGUUAAAUUUCGAGUGUCAGCUAGGAUUGUGACAAGAGAAGAUAAUUAAGAUUGGUUUUGAAAUUGCAGUAUUGGAAUGCACUAACAGCACAGUGAUAAUGUUGUUUUGGGUUUGAUAAUUUGAAGGCUAUAGAUUUACAUGCUCUCAGUGGUUCCCAGGUCGUAUUCGGCGAUCUGGAGAAGUGAAAUGUGAAUGCUCCAUUCCUUUUGACCAAUCAUGCUUCUUCCAAAUAAGUUAACCGCCGAAAUAUCACAGCAGGCCGGAUAAGGAAAAUUGAGUAACUUAAAUAUCAGGGACUCAUAGAGUCAUAGAUGGUUAGUGAAAGAUUUGCAGUAAAAUUUCAUAAUUGUUAGUGUAAAACAUUACUUUACCAUACUAUAAUCUUGUUGAACAGUGUGUUGCAUAGAAGUUUCAGAGGUUCUGUGAACCCACUGUCUGUAUAGUCAGAGGUCCUGUGAACCGUCUGUAUAGUCUACAUACAUGCAUGACCAUUGUAAACUGAAUUUGACUUUUGACUAGGAUCCCGUAAAUUUCAAGUCGAUCCUGAAUACGACAUUAAGUCGAUUUGUCAUAUAUAUAAUCAUAUUUCUAUGUUGAGUAUGAAUCACUAUUUGAUGAAUAUUUACAGCCUGGCCUGGUGUAACAUUCGCACAUUGUCUUCUAAAAGCAUAGGUUUAGGUUAUUAGUUUUCACAGCGUUCA
Molecule: long non-coding RNA, 770 nt
Organism: Daucus carota subsp. sativus
Lineage: Eukaryota; Viridiplantae; Streptophyta; Magnoliopsida; Apiales; Apiaceae
Exons: 3
Source: RefSeq, a predicted model, not a curated record